RNAcentral lists this ribosomal RNA (1535 nucleotides) under metagenome. Its description in RNAcentral is "bacterial SSU rRNA". It matches the Rfam family "Bacterial small subunit ribosomal RNA". The record is from RNAcentral.
AGAGUUUGAUUCUGGCUCAGAACGAACGCUGGCAGCGUGGAUUAGGCAUGCAAGUCGAACGGGAAGCCGUUGAUCAAUCUUCGGAGAGUGAAGCGGUGGAGAGUGGCGAAAGGGUGAGUAACACGUGCAUAAGCUACCCUCAGGUUGGGGACAACUCCGCGAAAGUGGAGCUAAUACCGAAUGUAGUCCCCCGGCUCCUGCCGGGGAGACAAAAGGUGGGGAUCCUUCGGGACCUGCCGCCUGAGGAGGCGUGCGCGCGCCAUUAGCUUGUUGGUGAGGUAACGGCUCACCAAGGCGUAUGGCUAGCUGGUCUGAGAGGAUGAUCAGCCACACUGGGACUGAGACACUGCCCAGACUCCUACGGGAGGCUGCAGUCGAGGAUCAUUCGCAAUGCGCGAAAGCGUGACGAUGCGACGCUGCGUGGAGGAUGACGGCCUUCGGGUUGUAAACUCCUGUCAUUCGGGAAAAAUGGCCCCAUUCCUAUAACGUUUGGGGUGUGAUGGUACCGGAAGAGGAAGCCACGGCUAACUCUGUGCCAGCAGCCGCGGUAAUACAGAGGUGGCGAGCGUUGUUCGGAUUUACUGGGCGUAAAGGGUGUGUAGGCGGUUUCGUAUGUCGGGUGUGAAAGCCCAUGGCUCAACCAUGGAAUUGCAUCCGAAACUGCGGAGCUAGAGGACAGAAGGGGAGAGCGGAAUUCUAGGUGUAGCGGUGAAAUGCGUUGAUAUCUAGAAGAACACCGGUGGCGAAGGCGGCUCUCUGGAAUGUUUCUGACGCUGAAACACGAAAGUUGGGAUAGCAAACAGGAUUAGAUACCCUGGUAGUCCCAACCGUAAACGAUGUGCACUUGGUGUGGGGGGUAUUGACCCCCCCCGUGCCGGAGCUAACGCGUUAAGUGCACCGCCUGGGGAGUACGGCCGCAAGGCUAAAACUCAAAGAAAUUGACGGGGGCCCGCACAAGCGGAGGAGCAUGUGGCUUAAUUCGAUGCAACGCGAAGAACCUUACCUGGGCUUGACAUGAUACUGCACGCCCGCCGAAAGGUGGGAAGCCUUCGAGGGUGUACCACAGGUGCUGCAUGGCUGUCGUCAGUUCGUGCCGUGAGGUGUUGGGUUAAGUCCCGCAACGAACGCAACCCUUGUGGUUAGUUGCCACCGCGGGUGAUGAGCCCGCGAGCACUCUAGCCAGACUGCCCGUACAAGCGGGAGGAAGGUGGGGAUGACGUCAAGUCAGUAUGGCCCUUACGUCCAGGGCUGCGCACGUGCUACAAUGGCCGGUACAAUGGGACGCAAUAUCGCGAGGUGGAGCAAAUCCCCAAAACCGGCCUCAGUUCGGAUUGGAGUCUGCAAUUCGACUCCAUGAAGUUGGAUUCGCUAGUAACGGCGCAUCAGCUACGGCGCCGUGAAUACGUUCCCGGGCCUUGUACACACCGCCCGUCACAUCAUGAAAGCCGUCUGCACCCGAAGUCGCUGAGCUAACCCGCAAGGGAGGCAGGUGCCGAAGGUGUGGGUGGUGAUUGGGAUGAAGUCGUAACAAGGUA